GCCUUCGUGGUACAACGGUAGCCCACUCGGCUUGUAUUCGAGAGGUCCAGGUUCAAGUCCCGGCGAUGGCA
RNAcentral lists this transfer RNA (71 nucleotides) under Stegodyphus mimosarum. It matches the Rfam family "tRNA". Rfam says of the family: Transfer RNA (tRNA) molecules are approximately 80 nucleotides in length. Their secondary structure includes four short double-helical elements and three loops (D, anti-codon, and T loops). The record is from Rfam by way of RNAcentral. Lineage: Eukaryota; Metazoa; Arthropoda; Arachnida; Araneae; Eresidae.